GUCACUUCCGCCGGACAGAAUCGCAGAUGGCGGCCGCUGCAUGAUUUUUUUGGAAACUGCCAGCCGAGAAUGUAUCACGUGCGCGAUUUGUGGCAUUGAUCCGACCGAUUCUGUUUUUGUUUUCCUUUUCUUUUCUUUUUUCCUAUUUACAUUCGCGGGCGGGUUACCUCAACGCCUUAGACGAAUACGUACGCGACUACGGGGUUAUACAGGGCUUGGAUUGUUGGAAAUAUGCCCUAGAGGCAAUAAUAAAUUUGUUAUUAUCAUAUUUCAUUGUUCUUGAUAAAUGUUUAUUGCCCAUGCUAUAAUUGUAUUGAUUGGAAACUCAAAUACAUGUGUGGAUAAAUAAACAAAUACCGUGUCCCUAAUACGCCUCUACUAGAUUAGCUCGUUGAUUAAAGAUGGUUAAGGUUUCCUAACCAUAGACAUGUGUUGUCAUUUAAUAACGAGAUCAUAUCAUUAGGAGAAUGAUGUGAUGGACAGACCCAAACCUAAACAUAGCUUUUGAUCGUGUCACUUAAGUUUAAGUUGCUUAUGUUUUAUUAUGUCAAGUAUUAUUUCUUUAGACCAUGAGAUCAUGCCACUCCCUAGUACCGGAAGAAUACUUUGUGGGCAUCAACCGUCAUCUCGUAACUGGGUGAUCAUAAAGGUGUUUUUCAGGUAUCCAAGAAGGUGCUUGUUGGGUUGUAUGGAUCAAGACUGGGAUUUGUCACUCCUUGUGACGGAGAGAUAUCUCUGGGCCCUCUCGGUAAU
Molecule: long non-coding RNA, 753 nt
Filed under: Brachypodium distachyon (stiff brome)
Lineage: Eukaryota; Viridiplantae; Streptophyta; Magnoliopsida; Poales; Poaceae
Description: long non-coding RNA (BDIS_LNC000375)
Source: RNAcentral